CCUGUGACAUACCUAUACGUUGCCUCGGCGGAUCAGCCCGCGCCCCGUAAAAAGGGACGGCCCGCCCGAGGACCCCUAAACUCUGUUUUUAGUGGAACUUCUGAGUAAAACAAACAAAUAAAUCAAAACUUUCAACAACGGAUCUCUUGGUUCUGGCAUCGAUGAAGAACGCAGCAAAAUGCGAUAAGUAAUGUGAAUUGCAGAAUUCAGUGAAUCAUCGAAUCUUUGAACGCACAUUGCGCCCGCCAGUAUUCUGGCGGGCAUGCCUGUUCGAGCGUCAUUUCAACCCUCAAGCUCAGCUUGGUGUUGGGACUCGCGGUAACCCGCGUUCCCCAAAUCGAUUGGCGGUCACGUCGAGCUUCCAUAGCGUAGUAAUCAUACACCUCGUUACUGGUAAUCGUCGCGGCCACGCCGUAAAACCCCAACUUCUGAAUGUUGACCUCGGAUCAGGUAGGAAUACCCGCUGAACUUAAGCACUUCUGAAUGUGACCUNGAU
Molecule: unclassified non-coding RNA, 496 nt
Filed under: Fusarium sp. MF-29
Lineage: Eukaryota; Fungi; Ascomycota; Sordariomycetes; Hypocreales; Nectriaceae
Description: partial contains ITS1, 5.8S rRNA and ITS2
Rfam family: 5.8S ribosomal RNA (bases 127-280)
Source: RNAcentral